AACGAACGCUGGCGGCAUGCCUAACACAUGCCAGUCGAACGAGACCUUCGGGUCUAGUGGCGCACGGGUGCGUAACGCGUGGGAACCUGCCCUUAGGUUCGGAAUAACUCCCCGAAAGGGGUGCUAAUACCGGAUAAUGUCUUCGGACCAAAGAUUUAUCGCCUUUGGAUGGGCCCGCGUUGGAUUAGCUAGUUGGUAGGGUAAAAGCCUACCAAGGCGACGAUCCAUAGCUGGUCUGAGAGGAUGAUCAGCCACACUGGGACUGAGACACGGCCCAGACUCCUACGGGAGGCAGCAGUGGGGAAUAUUGGACAAUGGGCGGAAGCCUGAUCCAGCAAUGCCGCGUGAGUGAUGAAGGCCUUAGGGUUGUAAAGCUCUUUUACCCGGGAUGAUAAUGACAGUACCGGGAGAAUAAGCUCCGGCUAACUCCGUG
This 433-nucleotide ribosomal RNA is filed under the name uncultured bacterium. RNAcentral describes it as "partial 16S ribosomal RNA". It matches the Rfam family "Bacterial small subunit ribosomal RNA", at positions 29 to 507 of the family's 1533-position model. The record is from RNAcentral.